CUGCGGUCGCUUUGGAAAGCAAGAAUACCAGCAAAAAUUAAAAUCUUCUUAUGGCAGCUGGCUCGAAACCAGAUUCCCAGCGAUGACCAGAUCCAAAAAAGACACGGCCCGGGAGAUGGCUUGUGUGUUUGGUGCAGAGAAGAGGAAUCUAGCAGCCACAUUAUCUUUCAAUGCAUUGUGGCUCGGAUGGUGUGGAGCUCCCUUCGAGAGGCGACUGGAUGUUCGUGGAACCCGAGUGAUUUCGCUGAACUAUAUGGGCUCAUCAUGGCUAGCAAUGCCCAGGAUCGGAAGCUAGCUUGGCUUGGCGUUGGGGCGCUUGCUUGGUCUCUCUGGACUACGCGGAACAAAGCUACCAUUGAGGGAAUUUUCUUUAAACAUCGGGCUGAUGUUGUGUAUAAAUUGGUCAUCCUUUUGCAGCUUUGGAAGGGGUUGACGAGACAACGGGACCGCCCCGGAGUGGAGCGCCUCAUCUCCCGCUUGAAGGCCAAGUGUGCUGAGCUCCGGCGUGCCGGAUCGAGGGCUGCAACGGCCGGCGUGCCGCCCUCCUCCGACCCCUGA
This 558-nucleotide ribosomal RNA is filed under the name Triticum aestivum (bread wheat). RNAcentral's name for it is "partial small subunit ribosomal RNA". The record is from RNAcentral. Lineage: Eukaryota; Viridiplantae; Streptophyta; Magnoliopsida; Poales; Poaceae.